This 326-nucleotide ribosomal RNA is filed under the name uncultured eukaryote. RNAcentral's name for it is "partial 18S ribosomal RNA". It matches the Rfam family "Eukaryotic small subunit ribosomal RNA", at positions 1470 to 1796 of the family's 1831-position model. The record is from RNAcentral.
CCCUUAGAUGUUCUGGGCCGCACGCGCGCUACACUGAUGCAUUCAACAAGCCUAGCCUUGACCGAGAGGUCCGGGUAAUCUUUGAAACUGCAUCGUGAUGGGGCUAGAUUAUUGCAAUUAUUAAUCUUCAACGAGGAAUGCCUAGUAAGCGUGAUUCAUCAAAUCGCGUUGAUUACGUCCCUGCCCUUUGUACACACCGCCCGUCGCUCCUACCGAUUGAAUGUGUUGGUGAGGAGCUCGGAUUGGCAGCAGUUGGUGGUUCGCCACCGGCUAUUGCUGAGAAGUCCUCCAAACCGCCCCAUUUAGAGGAAGGUGAAGUCGUAACA